UGUUGUGGCCUCAAAGCUCUCACUAUUGCACAAUUAAGAUGUGCAAUAGUGGACGCUGCACAGGCCACACUGGCAUCAUUUGUUGUGCAGUGUCCACUAUUGCAUAAUUAAAAUGUGUCUUUUAUUUCAUGCCAGCUCUUUCUUGGUGACUUUUUUCAGGACAGCCACAGAGGUGACACAUAAAGAUAAAAAACAAGGCACACGAAUUUGAAUUUGAUGUGGCCUCAGGAAACACCCCAGAUUGCUUUGAGCAUACAGGAGCUUGUAUGAGAGGUCUCUGGGUGCUCAGUGCAACCAAAACCAGCUCUUUUUGGAGUGAAGUGACUUCUCUGGAACACGCUUUGUACUCGGUGACAUGGAAGACUGGGCCUGGAUGAGGUUCUUCACUCCCCUCUCUUCAGCUUUGUUUUGACUAGCGUGCCAACUCUAUGACACCAAAGGAGCAUACCAAGCAGGAGAUGCCUUUGAAAGGACAGAUGUUCCUUAGCUUAACCUGCCUCCUGCCCAAACUGCUACUCUCCUUCUCUGUUGUAUAUUUGUUCUUGCUCUAUAAAUAAUCAACUGGUGUAAGUCACAUAAAAAAUGUAACUGAUGUUCUGCUGACCUCUGAGCCCCAUGUCUUUGGGAGAAAAAGAGGAAACGUUGGCAGGAGAAAGGUUGACUGACUAGGUCAUGGUAAAUGAUUUUGAGCAAAAGGGCAAAUGGAAUGAACACCUCUCUGUUCUAGUAAGGACUACAGUAGGUGUCUGGUUUAGCUGUCCUCCAUAAAGAAGCAUUUUUGAUUAAAUAUGAUCGAUGAAGUAUGAUGAUCUCCUGCUUUGACAUGACAAUCUGGUGACUAAUUAAAAAAAACCAGCUACAUUUUGUUAAUUUUCUCACAAAUAAAAAUAAGAAAUACUGCAACUCUUUAAUACAACAUGCAUAUUAGAGUCCAAUUAAAAAGUCUUUUUACAAGAUUUGUGGGGUUGCAGAGCAUUUGCCCUCUUGCUGUGGCUACAGGGAUGAAUGGGUGAUUGUUCGUUGGCCCUUGUGAUAGCUCUCCUGGGGCCCAUCAAUUCACCGAGGCUCCUGAAACAUCAGGUCAUGGCUAACUCUUGCUCAGAGGCUGCAGCUCGUCCACACACGAGCUGAUUAUGCCCUAGCUAUAGCUCAGGACCUCCAGGGUGCACAGCUGGGUCCCUUAAAAAAAGCCUAGCUGAACGGUUUUAGAAACACUCCAGCUCCUCUUACCAAGUACUCACUCUCCACCGAGAACACUCAGAACACUGCAGAUAUCAAAUAUUGUUUUUUUGUCUGUUCUCUUUUGCUUGCCAAAGCCGCUGGAAACCGUAUUAAAGUAUGUGUUCCAUAUUCUUAACUAACAGACCUAGAAUUCUUUCCAAAAUUUCCAUCUUGUUUCUACUUUCCUGCUGGUAGUUUUUUUUUCCUUCACAGCUCCACUUUUACCUUCUCUUCCAAACUUUGCUCACACACAUCUUAAUUUUCUCUCUUUUCCCUCCCGCAGCACUGCUAUCAUGUUGUAUCAAUUACAGCUGACCGCCAGUCAGGUGGGUCUGCAAGAGAUUUCAGAUCACAUAGAGGCGAACAGAUCGCUCUGUGCCUCCACCCUACUCUAAAGACUACUACCUCAGGCCCUGCUGAGGUCUAGUCCUGGGCAGCACACAGAGACACCUGGCCAAACCACAGAAACUCUUCCAACUGCAGACUGCCUGAUGCUCACCAUGGAGAGAAUUCAGGCCAAAGGUGGAGGAAUUCACCAAGCGCUACUGCACUAUCUUUGACAUUUCUCUGGGUUUGAAUUUAUUUUUUAUUGCUUUGCAAAAAGUAUUUCUAAGCCUUAAAAAUUUUCCCCAAUGUAUCAUGGCAACAAGUUUAAGGUAUUCUAAUAGGACUGUAUGUAGCAAAGUAAC
Cyprinodon variegatus (sheepshead minnow) is the source of this 1910-nucleotide long non-coding RNA. RefSeq lists it as uncharacterized. Lineage: Eukaryota; Metazoa; Chordata; Actinopteri; Cyprinodontiformes; Cyprinodontidae. The transcript has 3 exons. The record is from RefSeq and is a predicted model, not a curated record.